This 431-nucleotide ribosomal RNA is filed under the name uncultured bacterium. RNAcentral's name for it is "partial 16S ribosomal RNA". It matches the Rfam family "Bacterial small subunit ribosomal RNA", at positions 29 to 507 of the family's 1533-position model. The record is from RNAcentral.
AACGAACGCUGGCGGCAGGCUUAACACAUGCAAGUCGAGCGCACCGCAAGGUGAGCGGCAGACGGGUGAGUAACGCGUGGGAAUCUACCCAACCCUACGGAAUAACCCAGGGAAACUUGGACUAAUACCGUAUACGCCCUUUUGGGGAAAGAUUUAUCGGGGAUGGAUGAGCCCGCGUUGGAUUAGCUAGUUGGUGUGGUAAAGGCCUACCAAGGCGACGAUCCAUAGCUGGUCUGAGAGGAUGAUCAGCCACAUUGGGACUGAGACACGGCCCAAACUCCUACGGGAGGCAGCAGUGGGGAAUAUUGGACAAUGGGCGCAAGCCUGAUCCAGCCAUGCCGCGUGAGUGAUGAAGGCCUUAGGGUUGUAAAGCUCUUUCAGUAGGGAAGAUAAUGACGGUACCUACAGAAGAAGCCCCGGCUAACUUCGUG